RNAcentral lists this ribosomal RNA (459 nucleotides) under uncultured bacterium. RNAcentral's name for it is "partial 16S ribosomal RNA". It matches the Rfam family "Bacterial small subunit ribosomal RNA", at positions 338 to 795 of the family's 1533-position model. The record is from RNAcentral.
CCUACGGGUGGCAGCAGUGAGGAAUAUUGGUCAAUGGGCGCGAGCCUGAACCAGCCAAGUCGCGUGAGGGAUGACGGUCCUAUGGAUUGUAAACCUCUUUUUUCAGGGAGCAAAAGGCGCCACGAGUGUCGUUCUGAGAGUACGCUAAGAAAAAGCAUCGGCUAACUCCGUGCCAGCAGCCGCGGUAAUUCGGAGGAUUCGAGCGUUAUCCGGAUUUAUUGGGUUAAAGGGGUGCGAAGGCGGAUGAUAACGUCAGAGGUAAUAGUGAGAGGCCAAACCUCUUCGGGCAUUUGACACUGGUUGUCUUGAGUGCACGAGAGGUAUGCGGAAUUCGUGGUGUAGCGGUGAAAUGCAUAGAUAUCACGAAGAACUCCGAUUGCGAAGGCAGCUUACUGGACUGCAACUGACGCUGAUGCACGAAAGUGUGGGUAUCGAACAGGAUUAGAUACCCUUGUAGUC